GUUGUUGCAGUUAAAAAGCUCGUAGUUGAAUUUCGGGGUUAGUAGGUUGGUCAUGCCUCUGGUAUGUACUGGUCUCACUGAUUCCUCCUGCCUGAUGAACCGUAAUGCCAUUAAUUUGGUGUUGCGGGGAAUUUGGACUGUUACUUUGAAAAAAUUUGAGUGUUUAAAGCAGGCAUACGCUUGAAUACAUUAGCAUGGAAUAAUGAAAUAGGACGUUUGAUUCUAUUUU
Molecule: ribosomal RNA, 229 nt
Filed under: uncultured Glomus
Lineage: Eukaryota; Fungi; Glomeromycota; Glomeromycetes; Glomerales; Glomeraceae
Description: partial 18S ribosomal RNA
Rfam family: Eukaryotic small subunit ribosomal RNA
Source: RNAcentral